GAUGAACGCUGGCGGCGUGCCUAAUACAUGCAAGUCGAGCGAACGGACGAGAAGCUUGCUUCUCUGAUGUUAGCGGCGGACGGGUGAGUAACACGUGGAUAACCUACCUAUAAGACUGGGAUAACUUCGGGAAACCGGAGCUAAUACCGGAUAAUAUUUUGAACCGCAUGGUUCAAAAGUGAAAGACGGUCUUGCUGUCACUUAUAGAUGGAUCCGCGCUGCAUUAGCUAGUUGGUAAGGUAACGGCUUACCAAGGCAACGAUGCAUAGCCGACCUGAGAGGGUGAUCGGCCACACUGGAACCGAGACACGGUCCAGACUCCUACGGGAGGCAGCAGUAGGGAAUCUUCCGCAAUGGGCGAAAGCCUGACGGAGCAACGCCGCGUGAGUGAUGAAGGUCUUCGGAUCGUAAAACCCUGUUAUUAGGGAAGAACAUAUGUGUAAGUAACUGUGCACAUCUUGACGGUACCUAAUCAGAAAGCCACGGCUAACUACGUG
This 497-nucleotide ribosomal RNA is filed under the name uncultured bacterium. RNAcentral's name for it is "partial 16S ribosomal RNA". It matches the Rfam family "Bacterial small subunit ribosomal RNA", at positions 28 to 507 of the family's 1533-position model. The record is from RNAcentral.